Pelobates cultripes (western spadefoot toad) is the source of this 592-nucleotide non-coding RNA. The record is from the annotation of a GenBank genome assembly. Lineage: Eukaryota; Metazoa; Chordata; Amphibia; Anura; Pelobatidae.
AAUAAAACACACACCUUUAGUAUAAAAAAUAACCAGCACUGGCAGGGUGAGCCGAUGUUGGUAGAUGUCCUUGGCGGUUAAAUAUGACCCCCUUUCCGACGGAUCGCUGCCGCCUUUGGAUGUAGACAGCCAGCUGAGAGAAGCUGCAGGGUUACCGGGUGAUCUGUAUCCGUCUCUGUAAGCAUGUGCAGCGGCUGCCUGUCCAGCCUCCUCCCGCUCCCUUCGCACUGCCUCCUGCUUUAACACACAGAUCUGCUCUCUUACUUCCAACGGGGGCGACGGAUCCAGCCAAUAAACACAGUCUUCCCAAAACACACAGGUUUUCUCUCUCUAUUUAGAUCCCCUAUAAUAAGCAAAUGAUAAGGCUAUUCAUCACCAGGUGGAGGUUUCUGUGCUUCCACUUCUAUGCAAGAUGCACCUUCCUUGUGCCUGUUCCUGUUUCCUAAACUGACACUUCAGCAGAUCCCCUUGGCAUUGCUUGCUGCUCCUGCCAUGCUCCCUUCCCCUUUAUGCAAUGUACAGUAAAGUUUGCUGAGAUGGUGUUACAGACACCAAACUGUGUAUAGAUGUGAGUGUGGAGUCUGCAUGUGUG